Molecule: transfer-messenger RNA, 389 nt
Filed under: Candidatus Lloydbacteria bacterium RIFCSPHIGHO2_01_FULL_49_22
Lineage: Bacteria; Candidatus Lloydiibacteriota
Also listed under: 2 other names
Rfam family: transfer-messenger RNA
About the family: Bacterial tmRNA, also known as 10Sa RNA or SsrA, is named for its dual tRNA and mRNA-like properties. Its role is to liberate the mRNA from a stalled ribosome.
Source: RNAcentral
GGGGAUGAAAUGUUUCGACAGUGGAAGAAGUAGUAUAUCGUGCGUGCCGAGCAUGUUCGUAGUCUCGUAAAUCACGCGAACAACUUGAAAGUGCCAAGAAAAGCACCGGUGGAAUUGCGACGCCUUACUUUAAGGCCAACAAUUUCGCUUUCGCCUACGCUUAAGUAGACGGCGCGAAGCGGGAGUACGCCUGAUAGGCCCAUCCUUCGUGUCAUAUUUUCAGGAUAAGAAUCGUAGUACCCGAAUACGAUAACGAAAACUAAGGGAGUAGUGCUCGUAAGGUUUUGUUUGCCUAGCCCUUACGACAUGAAAUCAAUGAGACAACCUACGCACGUAGAUCUUUGUACUCUUCUCUGCUGGACGCGGGUUCGCCCCCGCCAUCUCCACAU